GCUUAUACUCGACCGUCAGCGGCACGUGCGAUCGCGCCCGCGAGGGCCGGUCACGAAGCCCUGACGAGUAGGAGGGUCGCGGCGGUGAGCGCAGAAGGGCUGGCCGCGAGGCCGUCUGGAGCCGCCGUCGGUGCAGAUCUUGGUGGUAGUAGCAAAUACUCCAGCGAGGCCCUGGAGGACUGACGUGGAGAAGGGUUUCGUGUGAACAGCCGUUGCACACGAGUCAGUCGAUCCUAAGCCCUAGGCGAAAGCCGAUGUCGAUGCGGUGUAGUUUUACUAACUAAUAAAUAUUAUAGUAUGUGGCACACACCCGUCGGGCGAAAGGGAAUCCGGUUCCUAUUCCGGAACCUGGCAGCGGAACCGUCAAUAAGUCGGGC
RNAcentral lists this ribosomal RNA (377 nucleotides) under Calacalles exiguus. RNAcentral's name for it is "eukaryotic LSU rRNA". It matches the Rfam family "Eukaryotic large subunit ribosomal RNA", at positions 1340 to 1663 of the family's 3401-position model. Lineage: Eukaryota; Metazoa; Arthropoda; Insecta; Coleoptera; Curculionidae. The record is from RNAcentral.